UUCCUACGGGAGGCAGCAGUGAGGAAUAUUGGUCAAUGGGCGGGAGCCUGAACCAGCCAAGUCGCGUGAAGGAAGAAGGUACUUAGGAUUGUAAACUUCUUUUGUCGGGGAACAAAGGCGGAGACGCGUCUCCGGAUGAGUGUACCCGAAGAAAAAGCAUCGGCUAACUCCGUGCCAGCAGCCGCGGUAAUACGGAGGAUGCGAGCGUUAUCCGGAUUUAUUGGGUUUAAAGGGAGCGCAGGCGGGAGAUCAAGGCAGCGGUAAAAUGGCGGGGCGCAACCCCGGCCGGGCGU
This 293-nucleotide ribosomal RNA is filed under the name uncultured bacterium. RNAcentral describes it as "partial 16S ribosomal RNA". It matches the Rfam family "Bacterial small subunit ribosomal RNA", at positions 336 to 627 of the family's 1533-position model. The record is from RNAcentral.